This 301-nucleotide ribosomal RNA is filed under the name uncultured bacterium. Its description in RNAcentral is "partial 16S ribosomal RNA". It matches the Rfam family "Bacterial small subunit ribosomal RNA", at positions 509 to 807 of the family's 1533-position model. The record is from RNAcentral.
CAGUCGCCGCGGGAAUACGGAGGGGGCUAGCGUUGUUCGGAAUUACUGGGCGUAAAGCGCACGUAGGCGGCUUUGUAAGUUAGAGGUGAAAGCCUGGAGCUCAACUCCAGAAUUGCCUUUAAGACUGCAUCGCUUGAACACGGGAGAGGUGAGUGGAAUUCCGAGUGUAGAGGUGAAAUUCGUAGAUAUUCGGAAGAACACCAGUGGCGAAGGCGGCUCACUGGCCCGUUGUUGACGCUGAGGUGCGAAAGCGUGGGGAGCAAACAGGAUUAGAUACCCCCGUAGUCCCUGUCUCUUAUAC